GUCAGGGAAGCUGCAGUGCCUGCUUGGCUGCUCCUCAGCACCAGGAAUGAGAUACAGGAAGGAAGGGUUGAAGGUUUAUUUCUCAUACAUGCUCAUGACUGACUUCAGUUCUGGUGAAGGAAGGUGGACUGACAGCCAGCCCCAGGGAAUGAGAGCAGACGAUGCAACAGCAAAGGCAAAUCCUUCUUCCUGCACAAUCCAGCUCUCCUCAACCCAGGAAGGAAUCCAAGUGGCUUUUUGUGCUUUUGCUGGCUGAGGUGGCAACAAUCACUGCUAUACAGGAUUCAAAUUGGGGGACAGCACCCACCAUGGGCUGUUGGUGCCUUGUGCAAGGCUGGAACCAGGGAGAUGCAAGCAAGAAGCAUCUUGAGGCACCAGGAAUUAUUGCCAGCUGUGAGGUGAAUGGUGCAGUCCCUGCUCAUGUGCACUUCAUGAUGGAAGGAACCAGUCUUGUGUGGAGAAGUAACUGGAAACUCACCCAGGGGAAAGGGCUGACAGUGCUAACAUUGCUCCUUGGCCCAAUUUCCAAGUCCGAUGUAGAAGUUACAUACCAGGAGCAGAAGGAGUGA
RNAcentral lists this long non-coding RNA (569 nucleotides) under Numida meleagris (helmeted guineafowl). Its description in RNAcentral is "lncRNA (ENSNMEG00000015265.1)". Lineage: Eukaryota; Metazoa; Chordata; Aves; Galliformes; Numididae. The record is from RNAcentral.